This 615-nucleotide ribosomal RNA is filed under the name uncultured bacterium. RNAcentral's name for it is "bacterial SSU rRNA". It matches the Rfam family "Bacterial small subunit ribosomal RNA", at positions 338 to 954 of the family's 1533-position model. The record is from RNAcentral.
CCUACGGGAGGCAGCAGUAAGGAAUAUUGGUCAAUGGAGGUAACUCUGAACCAGCCAUGCCGCGUGCAGGAAGAAGGCCCUAUGGGUCGUAAACUGCUUUUGUACCAGAGAAAACCCGAGUACGUGUACUCGGUUGAUAGUAUGGUAAGAAUAAGCAUCGGCUAACUUCGUGCCAGCAGCCGCGGUGAGACGAAGGAUGCAAGCGUUAUCCGGAUUCAUUGGGUUUAAAGGGUGCGUAGGCGGACUGAUAAGUCAGUGGUGAAAUCUCUCGGCUUAACCGAGAAACUGCCAUUGAUACUGUUAGUCUAGAGUAUAGAUGACGUUGGCGGAAUAUGACAUGUAGUGGUGAAAUACUUAGAUAUGUCAUAGAACACCGAUUGCGAAGGCAGCUAACGAAACUAUAACUGACGCUGAGGCACGAAAGUGCGGGGAUCAAACAGGAUUAGAUACCCUGGUAGUCCGCACCGUAAACGAUGAUUACUCGUUGUUGGCAAUAUGACCCGUCAGCGACCAAGCGAAAGCGAUAAGUAAUCCACCUGGGGAGUACGCCCGGNAACGGUGAAACUCAAAGGAAUUGACGGCNGAGAGAGCGACGGACGACGACGAGGGAGGAGG